AUAUCAAUAAGCGGAGGAAAAGAAACUAACCAGGAUUCCCCUAGUAACGGCGAGUGAACCGGGAAGAGCUCAAAUUUAAAAUCUGGCGUCCUCCGGGCGUCCGAGUUGUAAUCUAUAGAAGUGUUUUCCGUGGUGGACCGUGUCCAAGUUCCUUGGAAAAGGAUAUCAGAGAGGGUGACAAUCCCGUCCUUGACACGACAACCAUUGCUCUGUGAUACACUUUCUACGAGUCGAGUUGUUUGGGAAUGCAGCUCAAAAUGGGUGGUAAAUUCCAUCUAAAGCUAAAUAUUGGUGAGAGACCGAUAGCGAACAAGUACCGUGAGGGAAAGAUGAAAAGCACUUUGGAAAGAGAGUUAAACAGUAU
RNAcentral lists this ribosomal RNA (364 nucleotides) under uncultured fungus. RNAcentral's name for it is "eukaryotic LSU rRNA". It matches the Rfam family "Eukaryotic large subunit ribosomal RNA", at positions 40 to 398 of the family's 3401-position model. The record is from RNAcentral. Lineage: Eukaryota; Fungi.